GGGGGCUAGGAUGAAAAAUUUUGUCCUGCAUUUUUUUUUUUAGUUGUAAUCUCUGUCCUGCCUUUUCAUUUUUCACUCUAUUUGGUCCUCCCCUUUUUUUUUUUUUUUUAGUUUAUCCUGACUUUUUUUUUACCUAAAUUGUCAUCCUGACUUUUUUUUUUGCAAGUGUCUCAUCCUGCCUUUUUUUUUUACUCAAAAUUCCUGUCC
Molecule: long non-coding RNA, 207 nt
Filed under: Mytilus galloprovincialis (Mediterranean mussel)
Lineage: Eukaryota; Metazoa; Mollusca; Bivalvia; Mytilida; Mytilidae
Source: RNAcentral